GAUCCUGGCUCAGGAUGAACGCUAGCUACAGGCUUAACACAUGCAAGUCGAGGGGAAACGACAUUGAAAGCUUGCUUUUGAUGGGCGUCGACCGGCGCACGGGUGAGUAACGCGUAUCCAACCUGCCCACCACUUGGGGAUAACCUUGCGAAAGUAAGACUAAUACCCGAUGAUAUCUCUAGACGACAUCUGAAAGGGAUUAAAGAUUUAUCGGUGAUGGAUGGGGAUGCGUCUGAUUAGCUUGUUGGCGGGGUAACGGCCCACCAAGGCAACGAUCAGUAGGGGUUCUGAGAGGAAGGUCCCCCACAUUGGAACUGAGACACGGUCCAAACUCCUACGGGAGGCAGCAGUGAGGAAUAUUGGUCAAUGGGCGAGAGCCUGAACCAGCCAAGUAGCGUGCAGGACGACGGCCCUAUGGGUUGUAAACUGCUUUUAUAAGGGAAUAAAGUGAGUCUCGUGAGACUUUUUGCAUGUACCUUAUGAAUAAGGACCGGCUAAUUCCGUG
Molecule: ribosomal RNA, 505 nt
Filed under: uncultured bacterium
Lineage: Bacteria
Description: bacterial SSU rRNA
Rfam family: Bacterial small subunit ribosomal RNA
Source: RNAcentral